GCAUCAGGUAGUAGAAAUAUGAGAGUUCGAUCAUGGCUCAGAUUGAACGCUGGCGGGAUGCUUUACACAUGCAAGUCGAACGGCAGCACGGACUUCGGUCUGGUGGCGAGAGUGGCGAACGGGUGAGUAAUGUAUCGGAACGUGCCUAGUAGCGUGGAUAACUACGCGAAAGCGUAGCAAUACCGCGCAUACGCCCUUCGGGGGAAAGCGGGGGACCUUCGGGCCUCGCACUGUUAGAGCGGCCGAUAUCGGAUUAGCGGUUGGUGGGGUAACGGCUCACCAAGGCGACGAUCCGUAGCUGGUUUGAGAGGACGACCAGCCACACUGGGACUGGAGAUACGCCCAGACUCCUACGGAGGCAGCAGUGGGGAAUUCUUGGACAAUGGGGGAAACCCCUGAUCCAGCCAUCCCGCGUGUGCGAUGAAGGCCUCGGGCUUGUAAAGCACUUUGGCAGGAGAGGUUGAAACGGCACGGAUAAUACCCCGUGCAACUAACGGUACCUGCAGAAUAAGCACCGGCUAACUACGUGCCAGCAGCCGCGGUAAUACGUAGGGUGCAAGCGUUAAUCGGAAUUACUGGGCGUAAAGCGUGCGCAGGCGGUUCGGAAAGAAAGAUGUGAAACCCAGAGCUAACUUUGGAACUGCAUUUUUGGCCACCGAGCUAGAGUGUGUCAGAGGGAGGGAAUUCCGCGUGUAGCGAGUGAAAUGCGUAGAUAUGCGGAGGAACACCGAUGGCGAAGGCAGCCUCCUGGGGAUAACAUCGAUGCUCAUGCACGAAAGCGUAGGGCAACAGAUACCUCAGUCCACGCCUUAAACGAUGUCAACUAGCUGUUGGGCCUUUCGCCUUGGUAGCGCAGCUGACGCGUGAAGUUGACCGCCUGGGGAGUACGGUCGCAAGAUUAAACUCAAAGGAAUUGACGGGGACCCGCACAAGCGGUGGAUGAUGGAUUAAUCUGAUGCAACGCGAAAACCCUACCUACCCUUGACAUGUCUAACCUGAAGAGAUUUGGGAGUGCUCGCAAGAGAACCGGAAAUUAUAGGUAUGUAUGGCUGUCGUCAGCUCGUGUCGAGAUAAGCAAGUCCCAACGAGCGCAACCCUUGUCAUUAGUUGCUGCUGAAAGGGCACUCUAAUGAGACUGCUGUGACAAACUGGAGGAAGGUGGGGAUGACGUCAGCCCCAUGGCUUUAUGGCAGGGUUCACACGUCACAGCAAUGGUCGUGGACAGGGUCGCCAACCCGCGAGGGGGAGCCAAUCCUGCGAAACCCGAUCGUAACGUCCGAUCGCAGUCUGCAACUCAGACUCAGGAGUCGAAUCAUAGUACCCGUGGAUCAGCAGUCGCGGUGAAGAUGCCCGGGUCUGUACACACCGCCGUCACACCAUGGGAGUGGUUUUACUAGAAGAGUAGUCAACUGCAAGGAGGAAGCAUUUAC
RNAcentral lists this ribosomal RNA (1430 nucleotides) under uncultured Bordetella sp. Its description in RNAcentral is "partial 16S-23S ribosomal RNA intergenic spacer". It matches the Rfam family "Bacterial small subunit ribosomal RNA". Lineage: Bacteria; Pseudomonadati; Pseudomonadota; Betaproteobacteria; Burkholderiales; Alcaligenaceae. The record is from RNAcentral.